AAUGGCAAUAUCUCAAGUUUAUCGUUUCAAGGAAUUAAGAAAAAUCAUUUUCCAAGGAAAGGGAGUAUGAAAGCAACGAAAUGUCUGGCAACUUUGAAAUAAAUGCUCAAGAAGGAACGACGAAUCCGUCGUGAUUAAAGUUGGCAGGACUUUCAGCCCGAUCUAGGGAAGUCUGAAGUUUGACUCAGACUAUCUUGAGCAGCAGUGACUAGCUUGAAAUUUUAAUCGUGGUAAGUAUCUUAGUAGUUGGUUCGCAGUUACGAGGUGAUUUGAUUAAUUGCGUGCCUAGGGAUUUCCUAGAUGGAUUGAAGAAAGCCUUAAACCAUAUGAACCUAGAACUGGCUAACACGAAAAUUGUCCUGCUUGUUAGUAUCCUGGAUAUAUCAUGGCUAGUAAGGCUCGAAUCUUUUCCUCGUUAACCUAUUUUUACUAACUGUUUGCCAAUGAUAAUGAAAUCAGAGAAACCUGAUUACAAUUUGCCCCAAUCGAGAAGAUAUUCGUAAAGAAAUCCUUCAGAAUAGUCGAGAAAGAAAAUUACGCGAAGUAUUUUUAAAAACAAGACUAUUCAUGGACCAAAAUUAACGACCACCGACAAAAAUUCCUA
Molecule: unclassified non-coding RNA, 604 nt
Filed under: Bombus terrestris (buff-tailed bumblebee)
Lineage: Eukaryota; Metazoa; Arthropoda; Insecta; Hymenoptera; Apidae
Description: misc RNA ENSBTSG00005026814.1
Source: RNAcentral